This 253-nucleotide ribosomal RNA is filed under the name uncultured bacterium. RNAcentral's name for it is "partial 16S ribosomal RNA". It matches the Rfam family "Bacterial small subunit ribosomal RNA", at positions 524 to 776 of the family's 1533-position model. The record is from RNAcentral.
UACGUAGGGACCGAGCGUUGUCCGGAUUCAUUGGGCGUAAAGAGCUCGCAGGCGGCCACUCAAGUCGAAUGUGAAACCUCGAGGCUUAACCUCGAGCCUGCAUUCGAUACUGGGCGGCUAGAGUCUGGUAGGGGGAUCUGGAAUUCCUGGUGUAGCGGUGGAAUGCGCAGAUAUCAGGAGGAACACCGGUGGCGAAGGCGGGAUCCUGGGACGGUACUGACGCUGAGACGCGAAAGCGUGGGGAGCGAACAGG